This 253-nucleotide ribosomal RNA is filed under the name uncultured bacterium. RNAcentral's name for it is "partial 16S ribosomal RNA". It matches the Rfam family "Bacterial small subunit ribosomal RNA", at positions 524 to 776 of the family's 1533-position model. The record is from RNAcentral.
UACGGGGGGGGCAAGCGUUGUUCGGAAUUACUGGGCGUAAAGGGCGCGUAGGCGGCCUGCUAAGUCGGAUGUGAAAUCCCUCGGCUCAACCGAGGAACUGCAUCCGAUACUGGCGGGCUUGAAUCCGGGAGAGGGAUGUGGAAUUCCAGGUGUAGCGGUGAAAUGCGUAGAUAUCUGGAGGAACACCGGUGGCGAAGGCGGCAUCCUGGACCGGUACUGACGCUCAUGAGCGAAAGCGUGGGGAGCGAUCCGG